Molecule: ribosomal RNA, 1402 nt
Filed under: metagenome
Description: bacterial LSU rRNA
Rfam family: Bacterial large subunit ribosomal RNA
Source: RNAcentral
UAGAGACCGGAAUGCGAGGGAUGCGGGGCAACCCAAAACCCGAGUUCUCUGGAGUCGACAGGCGAGAAAAGCUGAUGGCGGAGUUUAUAGAUGUCCGUACCGGAAACCGACACAGGUGGGUGAGGCGAGCAGCCUCAGGUGAACGAGUGAAACGUGGUCAAGGAACUCGGCAUAAUGAUCCCGUAACUUCGGAAGAAGGGAUGCCAGAGAGGGUGUAGGGUACACCGAAGCUCUCCCUGGUCGCAGCGAAUCGGCCCAAGCGACUGUUUAGCAAAAACACAGGUGUGUGCCAAGCCGCACAAGGCGCCGUAUACACACUGACGCCUGCCCGGUGCCGGAAGGUUAAGGGGAGAGGUUAGCCGCAAGGCGAAGCUUUGAGCCGAAGCCCCGGUAAACGGCGGCCGUAACAAUAACGGUCCUAAGGUAGCGAAAUUCCUUGUCGGGUAAGUUCCGACCUGCACGAAUGGCGUAACGACUUGGGCACUGUCUCGACCACGUGCUCGGCGAAAUGGCAGUCUCGGUGAGGAUUCCGAGUCCCCGCGACAGUACAAAAAGACCCCAUGCACCUUUACUGUAGCUUGUCAUUGGUCGUUGCACAUCGCUGUGUAGCAUAGGUGGGAGGCGUUGAUCCGUGGGCGCUAGCUUACGGGGAGCCAUCAGUGAAAUACCACCCUGCGUCGUGCGACGCCCUCACCACGGCGGGAACACCCCGUCUGGGACCGUGGCAGGUGGGCAGUUUGACUGGGGCGGUCGCCUCCGAAACAGUAACGGAGGCGCGCGCAAGGUUGGCUCAGCGCGGACGGUACUCGCGCUUCUAGAGUGUAACGGCAGAAGCCAGCCUGACGGUGAGAUCGACGGAUCGAGCCGCCACGAAAGUGGGCCGUAGUGAUCCGGUAGCCCGGGGUGGAGCGGCUAUCGCGCAACGGAUAAAAGGUACGCUGGGGAUAACAGGCUUAUCGCGCCCGAGAGUUCACAUCGACGGCGCGGUUUGGCACCUCGAUGUCGGCUUAUCACAUCCUGGGGCUGGAGAAGGUCCCAAGGGUCCGGCUUUUCGCCGGUUAAAGUGGUACAUGAGCUGGGUUCAGAACGUCGUGAGACAGUUCGGUCUGUAUCCGUCGUGGGCGUUGGAGAGUUGAGGGGAGCGGACUCUAGUACGAGAGGACCGAGUCGGACGACCCGCUCGUGUCCCGGUUGUCCUGCCAAGGGCACCGCCGGGUAGCGAUGGUCGGCUGUGAUAACCGCUGAAAGCAUCUAAGUGGGAAGCACGCCCCAAGAUGAACUCUCCCGAGGCCUUGAGCCUCUUGAAGGGCCGGGGAAGACCACCCCGUCGAUAGGCCGCCCGUGGACGUCCCGCAAGGGAUUCCAAGCGCAGCGGUCCUAAUCGCCCGUAUGGCUUGACUAC